RNAcentral lists this long non-coding RNA (739 nucleotides) under Lathyrus oleraceus (garden pea). Its description in RNAcentral is "Pisum sativum (pea) long non-coding RNA (PSAT_LNC038616)". The record is from RNAcentral. Lineage: Eukaryota; Viridiplantae; Streptophyta; Magnoliopsida; Fabales; Fabaceae.
AUUAAUUAUAUUUUAAAGAAUGUAAUUUUUCACACUAUAAAAUUAUUAUACAAAUGUUUACUUUAAAAUGCAAAUGAGAGAACAUAUGGCAAAUAUUGUUAAAUUUGUUUAUCUCAUAAUUGUUUUUCUUUCCAUAUUCGUUGUUGUAACUGAUGGUAAGUUUAAUUUUGUAAUUUAUUUUUAAAAUGUAUUCUUAAUUUUAUAUAUAAUGUUGUAUUUAUUAUUAUCAAUUUUUUUUUACAUCACAGGAGUUACCAAAUGUCGAUCUAAUAAAGAUUGUCGUAAACAAAUGUCUACUUGCUUGCAACCUAGAGUUCCAAGGUGUAUCCAAGAUGCAUGUGAAUGUUGGUAAUUAUAGGAAUGAAGUUCAAAAAUAAUUCCAUGUAUUUACAACUAUAAUGUUGGGACUUAUAAUUUUCUAAAACUUCAACCUAUUUUCUAUGAACCUUCAAAUCAAUUUGGUCCACUCAAAUUAUUGUAUUAUGCUAGUGUUGUUACAUUAUCCAAUUUAUUAUUUAGAAAAGAAUAAUAAAUAGUAAAAUAAAAAACCUCUAGAUUCUUUUAUUUUCUUUAAAUAAGUUAUUGUGAAUGAAUACAUUAUUAUACCUAUUUAUACAAAAAAAAAGCAUAUUAACCUUUUGCACUAAUAUAAAAAUGAGUUUUUACUUCGAUUGAAAUAGGGUUUUUGGUGGAUGAUGUAACGUAGGGUGUUAUGAAAUGUACACUUCUUUUUUCUCCC